GUCCACGCCGUAAACGAUGACAACUAGAUGUUGGGCGGCUUUUGCUGCUUAGUGUCUUAAGCUAACGCGUUAAGUUGUCCGCCUGGGGAGUACGGUCGCAAGAUUAAAACUCAAAGGAAUUGACGGGGGCCCGCACAAGCGGUGGAGCAUGUGGUUUAAUUCGAUGCAACGCGAAGAACCUUACCUACUCUUGACAUCCUGGGAAGUCUGCAUAAUAGUGGACGUGCCUUCGGGAACCCAGAGACAGGUGCUGCAUGGCUGUCGU
Molecule: ribosomal RNA, 265 nt
Filed under: uncultured bacterium
Lineage: Bacteria
Description: partial 16S ribosomal RNA
Rfam family: Bacterial small subunit ribosomal RNA
Source: RNAcentral